CCUUUGGACCUGUGGGUGCUGCUGGUUGAGGUGAUGAUACUUGGGGGUGCUGCAGCCACCUUGCCACGUUGAGUAGACAAAGCUGAGGUCAAGGCCAACCUGCCAAGGAUGCCAAGAGAUGAUGGGAAGAACCAGUUCCCAAGUGGUCACUGACCCACUGAGGUUAUCAACCUGGGUUUGUCUAUUUCUGGACUUUUGGUAAUAUGAGCUAAUAAAUAUCCAAGUGGGUAAGCCUUUUUGAGCUGGGCGUUUUUUCUCAUGGAGGCAGCUUCCUGUUAUAGGGGGCAGUGAAGAAGUCAGAGUUCAUGGCUGAAAGCACAGGAUGCAGACUUAGACAGACCUGAGUUCAGGUCCUUGCUCUGCCACCUACUUGCUGUGUGACCUUGGGCUUAGCUUCUCUGACCUUGAGUUUCUUCAUCUGCCUCCAAAUAAGGGAGAGCCCUGGCAGAAUCAUGGGAGGAACAGCGUGUGGAGCCCUCAGCACAGAGCCCAGCCCAGUGAGCAGUCAAUAAAUGUUAGCUCUCCCAAAGUUGGCAACCAGUCUGAAAGACUUCAUGCCCAGUCUCACAGCAGAGCUCCGUAGCCCAGGAUCUUCCAAGCACACGUUGCUCGUAGCCAUGAAGAAAUAAAAACAACCCAUGUUUGGCCCAAUCUUCUACACAUUAGGGCUUUUGAGCCUUUCCUAGGGAUACCAAUUAUGCAGCAUUUUGUGCUAGGUGGAUCUGGGAUUGUUUUAAGCUCUCUUUCAAAUGAAAGCAACAGUCUUUUUUAAAAAGUAAAAAUAAAAUGGACUCAUCACCCAACAGUAAUGCACAUGUAUGUUCAUCAAAGAAAAUAUAGAGGGAUCCACCGCUGUAUGAUUGGUACCAGCCUGUUAUGGGGUUGAAUUUUGUCCCCCACCCAAAAAGCUGCGAUAUUCUUAAGAGGCAGCAGAUACCCACUGGAAUCCCUCGAAGCCUGGCAGCCCCCCACGGAGCAGAGGGGGCCCUGUGCAUGAGGCCUCAAAAUCACCAACUUCUCAUCAUUAAAACUGAGAGAGAGAGAGAGAGAGAGAGAACACCAAAGCCUCACCGUGGAAACACAUGAACACGAAUGAGCAGGCUGUAGCGGAAGCAUGCCAUCUACUGCCAUCUGCUUCUGGUGAGGCCUCAGGGAGCUGCCAAUCAUGGCGGAAGGUGAAGGGGAGCCAGUGCAUCACACGGCAA
RNAcentral lists this long non-coding RNA (1205 nucleotides) under Homo sapiens (human). Its description in RNAcentral is "HSALNT0371724". The record is from RNAcentral. Lineage: Eukaryota; Metazoa; Chordata; Mammalia; Primates; Hominidae.